Psammomys obesus (fat sand rat) is the source of this 1996-nucleotide long non-coding RNA. RefSeq lists it as uncharacterized. The transcript is spliced from 12 exons. The record is from RefSeq and is a predicted model, not a curated record. Lineage: Eukaryota; Metazoa; Chordata; Mammalia; Rodentia; Muridae.
CUCCUGGAGUGAGUGAGGAAGUGCUUUAACAGCCGCCUUUGCACUCCGCACAGGAUGGCUGCAGGGAAUGUACUCAGACAUGCCCCAGAGACAGCUGCCCAGGGUGACUGAGGUACCUGUGAGAUUGAAACCAGAAAGGAAGGAGAGGCUGUUUCUACAGGUGUCACAGAAAAAAUCGAUACUGAGCCACGGAUUAUUGGAUCCCAUAGAACCGUGGAGACUUGGCAGUGAAAUUCUUCCAAAGUUUCCUCUGGAUGUCUGAAAGUUGAAAGGAAAAAAACCAAAGCUGUUCCUAAGUCCUUGGUUGUUUUACCGCAUCACUUAGCAGUCCAUCUGCACAGGCAGAGGUGUUCCUGGUUUGGCAACUAUAAAUCCUGUGUUAAGUCAGCUGAAGAACAUUUUACACAUCGCUCAUCCUAUUAUGAGCUGCUCUUCCGUCUCUCAACAAGCCUAAACGUUUUAGUUUGGCUGAAUCACUAAAGGCUGCGUACAAUCUUUACUGAAACUUGGUCACCUACACAGUAUGCUGACUCUGGUUGUACCCCGUGUCACUGUUCUGUGCAACACAACCCACCAGCGGGCACAGAAUUGUUCACAGAAUAACUGAAAGUUUUUGGAUUUUCCAUUUAAUGAGCUAAAGGACAGAAGUAGCAAUAAGGCCGCCUGGCUACAUUUUCACAGUGCCACCAACUGCGAGUUAAGCUGACAAACAUUUUGAGAGCUUGGCCCAUUUCAUUCACAGCAGGAUAGCAGGAGUUAACGAACAAGGAGUAAACUCAAAAUUGUGCUUUUAUUGCACAUUUGCAUUGAAUCUUAGGACAGAAAAUGGCUUACAUUCUGCUCAGCAAGCGGGUGACUGAUUGUCCCUGCCAGCUGGCUAAUAUCAUAAUUAACAAAGUUGCUCCCACAUCUGCAAAGUUUAAUCGAAAAAUUUACCAGUGGUAUGAUGGCAUUGUCACCAAGAUCACAAGGGACUCGGAGUCAGCUUCUGCUCCAGGUGGAACGGCAGGGCUGUGUGGCCGAGAGGAGAAAGUGGGGUACUUGUUCAGCCAAAGCGUGCCCACCCUGCACACAGAGCCUCAUCUAUUUCUUGACCAAUAAAUUCACAGAUGAUAUCCUCCUACUGUCCCACGGAUGAAGGUUAUGCUUCGCAUCACCCGCCAGGGAGGAUCAUCUCUCAUGAAAACUUUCAAAUUUGAUUUUGAAAAUUUAUUCAGAAAAAAAAUUUAAGCCACGCUUUUUCCCAACACAAGAAAUGAUAUGCUCCAGAGAAUCCUCUAAUUCACAGAAAAUGGACUGGGAUAACAUUUGGGUUCUCAUUCUACCACAGUCCUCUUGAGAAGGACAGCCAGGAGGCUAAUAAUGAAGGGGCCAGGGAUGGAGGCCAAUGCUACAAGGGUUAUCUCUCAACCUCAGAUGUUGGAUAAGUCGAAGGAGGCAGCAUCUGGAUGACGUUCAGAAAGGCUGGAGUGAUUAUUUGGAAGAGAAAAGCCUGCCUGUUCUUUCAAAGGUACAUGAAUGCUGUCGAGGCCUUCCCACCUAACAGUGCAGCCUUAGAAUCCUGCCUUAGACAAAGGACACACAGGAGCUCCACCACACCUAAAACCACGCUUUGAAGGAUCUGCCAAGCUCACUCUUAAUCAUGAGAAAGAAAUUACCCACAUGGAGACAGCAGAAAAUGAGAAAGUAGAGAUCGUGCUGAGAAUAAUUCCAGCGAGUGCCAAGGGGCUAGUUGAGGAAUGGCUUCAUGAGAUGUUACUCUUUCUAGAACACCACCUUUGGAUCUAAGCUGGACCUUUGAGAAAGAAAAGACUUCAGUGAAAGACCCCUUUACAUACAGUUUAAUUACCUUUUAUCUGAACUGCUUAAUACGUACUAUCCAACUAUAUUCUUCUUUUCUGCCUCUUGUGUAUUUUUUUUGCCUGAACUGCUUUAAUAUUGACUAUUGAACUACCUAGUCAUUCUGAAAUUUUAAAAGAGAACUCUAAUAAAAAGC